This is a long non-coding RNA of Bombus impatiens (common eastern bumble bee), 3370 nucleotides long. RefSeq lists it as uncharacterized. The record is from RefSeq and is a predicted model, not a curated record. The transcript is spliced from 3 exons. Lineage: Eukaryota; Metazoa; Arthropoda; Insecta; Hymenoptera; Apidae.
GAUUACUCUACAAUCUGUACUUUUCGUCCUAAAUGCAGUCUUGCAAUCAACGUCAGCAAACAAUUAGUCCAGUUCAAUCCAUGGGGCUGCAAACUCUCCAAAAAAUGGACACGUACACUGUCCCGGUUCGCGUGCUGGGAUCACCAAACGUGUUUGAUCUCGCGUAAACUGCACUACUGCACUAAAGAAACUAGAGAAACAAAAAUAUACAGGCAAUCCACUGUGGCAGGCGAGACUCGUUUUGGCGCGUUGCACGGGCGGCUUGCAGCGGAAAAUUCUAAUUGAAUUGAAAGGGGAAUCGAAGGCAAGCAGCUGUAGGAAGGAAGAACUCGCGGAUCGUGGCGGCGUCGCGUCGUUCUUCGUCGACGUUUAGGGAGUAUCGGUGCGCGAUUCAAGGCGAUUCAACCCCCCGCGCGCGCGAUCAUCUCCACCCUCAGCCGCUCUAACUGGUCAAGAAAAGUAAAGCUUGGGAAGCGGAUAUCGCGGGGCUCGAGUCACGUUGUUAUUGGCCGGCGUCGCGACGCCACUCGCCCUCACGGUUGGCCCCGUGGCGAACGCGGGGCGGUACCAUUGGCGCCGUUACCAUGGACACGAUGCUGUUUCGUCAUAGGAUUUCCUAGCCACCGACGCGGUUCUCUCUCACCCUUGUGUUCGCCGGAGCAACCCCCUCGGUGCCGGAUCCGAAAGAGAAAGGGAGGAGGAAACCGUGGAGGUGGAGGUGGAGGAACGAGAUGUUCUGUAUUCGUGGUUCCCCAUGUCGUCGUUGUGCAUUCACAUCCACUCCACGAUAACGGUGUUCACGCGUGUACCUUUGAGCAUUCCCUCCGAGGAUCCGCCGAUCGUCCUUUGUUCCGAAGAUGGCUGGUGGAGAAUUUCAGAUGAAUUUUAAGGUAUUUCUUUACGUUGCAGAGGUUCGAUCGUUUAUUUUCUACGCUAUUGGUCGUAUUUGUUUUUCCUCUCGGCAUGAAAUUUUGUUUUUCGCGGAAUCUAUGGUUGUAUAUGAACGAAGGAACGUGAAGAAAUGUUGUAUUUCGAGUUCUUCUGCUAUAUCGAAGUAGUAUUUCGUUAGCGAAAUUCUAAAUUAGAAGAGCGAAGGUAAUAUGAUGAUAUAGUAGCUUCAUAUUCUUGUUCACGAAAAACUAAUAAAACCUUCUUGAAGAAGGCGAUGCAUUUCGUUUGUCUAUUGUUGUUCGCAUUUCAUCACGUUCUUUCUCUCUCUCUUUUUCUCUCUUUCUCUCCGUCUGUUUUUUAUCUCCUUUUUUACUUCUUUCUCAUAAGUAUUGAUCCUCCGUCUGCGUUGAAGUAUAUAAAAGCUUUUCGCAAGUCAAUACAUCUGUAUCGAAUCUUGAAAGGAUGGAGAAUGCGGAUCAGGAGGAGCAGGCGGAUCAAAAUUAGAUUUACUCGUUGGACGAUGUGUACACGACGCAGGAUGUAGAUACUUACGAUGUAGGUCCAAAAUAGAUAGGUGUUCGUGUAUAUCCGUGUGUAUGAUCCUCUGUAGCUUAGCGUAGGCUCUCGAUCAAUGGAAUUAUUAUGGCAUCACGUCGUAGAUGCUAACGCAAUUUUUACGACGAGACGCCCUAUGCAACCGCUAAUUGCACCUACUGAGAAGAAGAUUUCAUAGUGUUUAACGAAUUCUCAAUCUGCGUCCCUUUCUCCUUUCUAUUUUCCAUACUUGUACUCAUACUUAUACAUUCCUAUCUUCUAUGGGUAUUUAUAUCUUUUCAUAUUUCUAUAGUCUUACAUUCUUACAUACCGUUAUCUUCAUUUUUCCAUACUUCCACAAUUUUACAUUUCUAUUUCCUAUACUUCCUUACACACUGUAUACACAUGUACAUCCAUAUGACAAACUGCGAAUCAUAGCCAAGUUAAAAUUCCAAAAAUUUAUAUCUAUGCACUUUUCCAUCUUUCGAUAGGUAACCAAGAUGUAAUUUCGCUGUCUAUCGUGACGAGGCAUUUUUGUUAACCCAAGGAGACACGUUCAGUGUUUGUAACACCUUGUAAUCCCCACGAAGGAGAAAAACACAGGACCAUCCUUUCCUACCUCCAACGCCGAAAAUAGGUCUCGCCACUAACGAUCAGAUGCAUCAAACGAUGCAUGAUAGUCACAGUCGUUUAGUAUCUAAAUGAUGCCGCGAAGGUUGGCGAUUUCUCGUGUAACAAGUCCCGAGAGGGUGUGUUUAGAGCGCGGCGGUGGACUUUGCCAGCGGUUUCCGGAACAUCAGGGGGAACAGGGGGCUAGUUUCGACAGCGCUAAGCUUGCGGACGGGAUUUUCGGCUUUGCUAUCGACAUCGAGGGCCGGCUACGCCGUAUUGCGGACCGUCGAGGGAUCGACGGAACGGAUGAAUGGACACUCGUCGGUAACACAAUUACCGGGAUGUUAAUUUACCCAAUAAUCGCGGAAGCAACCCCGUCUAAAUGCCGGCACGCGCCACUUCCCCUUCCGCCGUCGCCUAAAUAGAGACAGCCUCGCUCUAAUGUCAGGGAUGGAUACAUCGGCUCAGGUUUUACAGACGAUUGCGUCGUUGCACGUGCGUUUUACCAAACAGCUCCAGCUACGUACAAUGGUCUGUAACUGGUCUCUUUGUGCUGUGUAUCGAACAAGGCAAAUAAAGUUGAGCGACUUUGCAACUGUGGUGACACGAUGGCUAACGUACUUUGAGAAUCCUGAAGCGAUUUUUCGCAGGCUGCGAUGUUUAAUUAUAAUCGACGGAGAAGCUUUGUAUAGAUGGUGUUUAUGUAGGAAUGUAAGAACAUGUAAUACAACGUAGAUACUAGGAACAUAGAAAUAUGUUUGCGUGUAUGUAAUGCAUUGGAGUAACGUAAAGUCUGGUGAUGUGUGUGGGAAUUAAAGAAGAAGCUUAAGGAGUAGGAACAUAGACGUAUGGAAUAAUGGAAAAUGAAGAUAUAAUAAGGUAGAAACGUUAAAAUAUAUAAAUAUAAAGAUGGAAGGAGUAAUAUCUCCUUCUUACUUUGCUGAUUUGUGCGUCACAUCUCGACCAAUAUUCCUAGGAAUUGUUCGUUACCUUUCGUGCCUUUUUGGUCGAUAUGUGAAGUCUCUGUGGAAUAAUGCGAGACAAAACCGAGUUAUAUCUAAUAUAUUCGAUAUAUUCUUGGUGCUAAUAAAAAUCCAGAGCAUUGAGCGCAGUGCAGAUAGUUAAGAGCAGCGUAAACGAACCGCUUGGAGAUUCGUCAGGAUAAAAAUAAUGUACUCGUAAUCGUUCAUCAUCCAGACGGUAAUUACACGCAUAUUUGAAAGUCAAUCAUGACACGUAAGUUUUCGCAAACGGAUGUGUGAAACGAUCGCUUAAUUGUUUCUCGUCUAAUUCUUCCAAAGAACUGUCGAUCUCUUGCAAACGCGAUUUUACC